GAUGAACGCUAGCUACAGGCUUAACACAUGCAAGUCGCGGGGCAGCAUGGGGGUUGCUUGCACUCCCCGAUGGCGACCGGCGCACGGGUGAGUAACGCGUAUCCAACCUGCCCUUCACCACGGGAUAACCCGGCGAAAGUCGGACUAAUACCGUAUGUUGUCCAUUGACGGCAUCCGAUUUGGACGAAAGGUUUGGCGGUGAAGGAUGGGGAUGCGUCCGAUUAGCUGGACGGCGGGGUGACGGCCCACCGUGGCGACGAUCGGGAGGGGUUCGUGGGGGGAGGGCCCCCAGACGGGGACCGGGAACACGGUCAAACUGCUACGGGAAGGAGGAGGUAGGGAGGAUGGGGAAGGGGAGGUAGCCCGAACCAGGCAAGUAGCGUGCAGGAUGACGGCCCUAUGGGUUGUAAACUGCUUUUAUGCGGGGAUAAAGUGGCCCACGUGUGGGUUUUUGCAGGUACCGCAUGAAUAAGGACCGGCUAAUUCCGUG
RNAcentral lists this ribosomal RNA (490 nucleotides) under uncultured bacterium. RNAcentral describes it as "partial 16S ribosomal RNA". It matches the Rfam family "Bacterial small subunit ribosomal RNA", at positions 28 to 507 of the family's 1533-position model. The record is from RNAcentral.